RNAcentral lists this ribosomal RNA (922 nucleotides) under uncultured bacterium. Its description in RNAcentral is "bacterial SSU rRNA". It matches the Rfam family "Bacterial small subunit ribosomal RNA", at positions 53 to 950 of the family's 1533-position model. The record is from RNAcentral.
ACCAUGCAAGUCGACGGCAGCAUACUCCAAGCUUGCUUGGAGUGAUGGCGAGUGGCGGACGGGUGAGUAAAGCAUAGGAAUCUACCUUGGAAUGGGGGAUAACUGAGGGAAACUUCAGCUAAAACCGCAUGAAGUCUACGGACCAAAGUGGGGGAUCGAAAGACCUCACGUUCUGAGAUGAGCCUAUGCCGGAUUAGCUAGUUGGUAGGGUAAAGGCCUACCAAGGCGAAGAUCCGUAGCUGGUCUGAGAGGAUGAUCGGCCACACUGGGACUGAGACACGGCCCAGACUCCUACGGGAGGCAGCAGUGGGGAAUAUUGGACAAUGGGGGCAACCCUGAUCCAGCAAUGCCGCGUGAGUGAAGAAGGCUUUCGGGUUGUAAAGCUCUUUAGUGGGGGAGAAAGGUGUAUGGCUUAAUACGUCAUACAAUUGAUGUUACCCCAAGAAUAAGCACCGGCUAACUCUGUGCCAGCAGCCGCGGUAAUACAGAGGGUGCAAGCGUUAAUCGGAAUGACUGGGCGUAAAGGGUGCGUAGGUGGUUUGUUAAGUGAAUUGUGAAAGCCCCGGGCUUAACCUGGGAACGGCAAUUCAUACUGAUAGACUAGAGUAGGUGAGAGGAGAGUGGAAUUUCCGGUAUAGCGGUGAAAUGCGUAGAGAUCGGAAAGAACACCAGUGGCGAAGGCGGCUCUCUGGUACCAUACUGACACUGAGGCACGAAAGCGUGGGGAUCAAACAGGAUUAGAUACCCUGGUAGUCCACGCUGUAAACGAUGAGAACUGGAUGAGGGUAAAUUUUAAAUUUAUCCCUUAUCGAAGCUAACGCGUUAAGUUCUCCCCCUGGGGAAGUACGGUCGCAAGAAUUAAAACCUCAAAAGGAAUUUGACGGGGGGCCCGCCCCAAGCCGGUGGAAUUAUGUGGGUUUAA